Long non-coding RNA from Eleginops maclovinus (Patagonian blennie), 1966 nucleotides. RefSeq lists it as uncharacterized. NCBI's taxonomy places the organism in Eukaryota, Metazoa, Chordata, Actinopteri, Perciformes, Eleginopidae. The transcript has 3 exons. The record is from RefSeq and is a predicted model, not a curated record.
CGGUGACAUCAUAUCCGUCCUGCUGUCGUUCUUGCCGCAUGGUAGCAAGUUUGAGAACAACUCGUUUUAUUUUUCCACAGCUGAAUUGAAGAAGUUUGAGGAAUCUCAAAGUCCUGAAAUCCGGGGAAUCCCAAAAACCUGAAGGAUUUGACCCAUACACGUUUCAGAGAGGCAUUUGGAGCUUGCAACCAAACAUGGCAGGAACAAGAUCAUGAGGUUAUAAUCCAUAGUUACGAGGAGCGGUUGCUAGGUGCGUUGCCGAGAUACAGACCCUUCUCUCCGCUGGCGCUACGUAGGAGGCCAUCGGGUCCUUGAUGAUGGCAGAGAGAUGAGGGACGGGUGAAAGGAUGACAAGAGACGGGACAAUGAGGAUAGAAAAUAGAAGCACACACACCUGACGGAGGCUGAGUGAGCACAGGCACAAAGAUAGCGCAGAAAAAAGGCUGAAAAUGAGAGCGGGGAAUGAAAAGUAAACGCAAAAAGGAUAAUGUAACAGUCUAAGUGGGCAAUCUGAACACCUCCAUUUGCCACGGCUGCAUUUUAGCGUGUCCGUUUUCUGCCUGUGUUUGUGUACAUGUGUGUUUUUUGUGCAUCCGACAGAGGAAAAGACAGAAAGAUGGGAAUCUCCUUUGACUCUUUGAAAAGCCUGCUAUUAUAUAAAUAAAAGGGCCCUAAUGGCUUCAAUCAGUGGAUCGUUUUUGGGUAGGCUUUUUUUUUACCUUGGGAGUGAGACAAAUAGGAGAAAUAAAACACCAUAAGAAACUUUGAGAAAGGGCAUGUUAGGUGUCUUGCGGUGCGCACGAAUAAUGGUUAAAAUGUCCGCCAUUUGAACUGGAUACAAAUAACCAAAAUGUAGCUUACUUAUUUUGAAACCGAUUCAUAAAAGAAGGUAGUUUUUGGACAACUUCGACCUCUUUUCACAUGUUCCCCCAGAUGUUGCUCACACUAACAGCUCUCUUUUUAUUAGCGCUCAUGGCCAUAUAACCACCUGAGUUACGCAAGCUGUCAAUUUAUUUUUCCUAAUCCUGAUCCGUUUAGUAUGGUGAUGAUAGAAACCCAUGGGAGUGCUUACUCCUCACGAGCUUUCUUGUUGGUAGAUAGAAAGAGUGUUCUUUGGUGCUGAAGCUGCAGGAGCCAUCUGCCGCUCCCAGCUACGAUUAUCCCCGGCUUUUCCCCCAGGGGGCAGUAGCAGCGUGCACACCGACACCGCUUAACUCUGCCCCAAGAUCAAAGCCACCAUCGCCCGCUCUCUCGUCUGUCUACCUCUAGGACAAGUUUUCAGCAGUUUAUAAAAAAAAAAAGAUAUUAACAUGAUGUCAUAGAAUGAGAUGUCGACCUCAGGAAGCAAAGUUGUGAGCUUGCUUUGAGUCGGCAGUGAAGCUCUGCCGUGUCCAUCGCUUUUGACAAUGUUAUUAAGAAGAUAAUUCUCGCAAGCAAAUAAACAGUGUGUAACACCCCUGUGAAUUUUCCUUUCUGGUUGGGUUAUUGUUUGUGUAUUUCACUGAUAUUGUGUCAUCUGGUGAGGGAGCAAAUAUCAGGGUUAGUUAGAGGUUAGGCUUCUGAUCUCCUUUGAGAGUGCAACCGAGAGUAACUCUAUAUUCAUUUGAAAUGACACCUACAGUACAUCAGUUAUAGCUGAAAGUGUAGUAUCACAUUCGUCAACAAUGAAUAACUUAUUUACGGUCUCUGUUUUUGUACCUAAUUCUCUCUGGACUUUAGUAAUUUAACAAUCAUAUGGCUUGUAAGAAGUACCUAAAUUGUGAGAGAAUUUCUUUUUUUUUUGUAUUAAUGAAAGUUAAUGAAUUUGAAAUCUCAAUUGUUGGCUGCCUAAGUGUGAUUGCUUUGAUGUCUUAAUGUACCCAAACAAAGGGAAAGAAAUAGCAAAAUUAAUUAAAAGCUUUUUCGUUUGUGAUUUGCACUUCCUCACUGAAAAAAAAAUCCAAUUAAGACAUGAAAAUAUGCAAUA